UAUAAAAAAUGCUUGAUGUUACAUGUAUAUUGAAUUAAAACACGUCAUUCCCAGUCAACAACUUUCGAUCGGGAUCGGAAUACGAAAUAAAAUUUCUUAUAUUCGGUUGCAAAGUGAAACUGCUUCAUGCUUCAAGUUAUUGAAUUAUGUAGCAAUUGCACGUUACACAUUAGAGAACUGUUCCUUUUGAUAAAGAAAGUCACAAAAUAGAUACAAAAUGAGUGUACCUUAUUCAUUACUGUUACCGAGCUUUCGUCGGUGAAAAUCUCGAAAUGGCGUGUUUCGCUGCGCUUCGUCCACAUUUUCUAUGUGGUGACUGAAGUCUGGUCAGUCGGCAGGCAGCAGUACUCAAUUUACCGCAUUCCUACAAUCCAACUGAAAUUACGGGUAUUCAGAAUCGGCCUUCGAACAGUUGAUGUGACAGGUGUCAAUGGGUUUUUUUCCAGAAGCCCGCCCUGGUAGAUGGAAUCUGCCGCUUGACCAGCAGCACUGUCCAGAGACAGUGGUUGAUGCUGGAUAUAUGACUUUUCCUCAGCCCAUCAUUACCUGCUGGAGUGCUGGUAGAGGCUGAAUGCUUUAAUAAAUAUAACUGUGAUCUUGCUGAGAUGUAGUAAUCCAUGGGAAUUUUCCAAAGAAGAUUCAAGAGAACCAUAAAGUCUUUCACCUCGUGACCUUGACAUUAGAGUUUCAUCUACUGACCGGUUUAGCUUUCUGGACCUUAAAAGAUGUUGACACCCUGCUGAUGGAGCAGAUCCUAUUUCUUAGAAGCAGAAAGCAGUUCUCUUACCAUCAGAUCUGAUCCAUUUUUGGAGAUAGCCUUUUGUAUGGAGCUGGGUAACGGUUACUGGAGACAUGCUGUUGAUUGAUGAGGAUAAUUUUCCCGAGACUCUGACAUAUUGCAGGACCUGGAUAGCUCUACUGGUGUUCAAAAUGCCAGGACUGUGGAGUGUUGUGAUGUUAUUGAUGGUCAACAGAAGACUGUGACCUUGAAUCUGAAGAUCUGUGAUGAAGACUGGACGUUUGGGGUCACUCUCUGUUACAGUACUACAAAUCUAACAGUGUAACGCUCAGACACAAAGAGGUUGUCUCUGAUGUCCACACAUAAACCUAAUGGAGACUCUAAAUCACAGUGAAUGUAACGGAGGAACUGUCCGUCCUGAUCUAGGAUGUGGAUACGGUGAUUGUCACGGUCUGUUGUCAGGAUGUGACUCUGGCUGUCUGUAGUGAUGCCGCGUGGUUUAAAUGAUUGCUUGGUAUUAGAGGGAUGACCAGUGUAUCUAAAUCGGAGUUUUCCUGACUGAUUGACCACCACUACUGCACUAGCUACACAGUCAGCCACACAGAUAUCCAGGUUCUUGUUCUCACUGAGGUAUUUACUGUAACCAGAUGUGUAGAGAGGACGACCCUGAUCAUCAAACUGAAUGCUUUGUUUCUCUGUGGAGCCGGAGUAACGCACGACUUUGGAUUGUUUGACAUCAUCACUGUCCAUGGUAACCAGGAGAUCAUCAGAGGCGGUACAGCAGACAGAGAGAGGGUACCACCCCUGUAGUGUGAUCACGAUUGAGUUGUGUGGAACAAUGAACCUCCGGAUAUAUAUGUACAUUUACACGUGUAGGAUUAAACUUCUGUGGUACUCGCGUAUGUGAGUUUA
Molecule: long non-coding RNA, 1651 nt
Organism: Ostrea edulis (European flat oyster)
Lineage: Eukaryota; Metazoa; Mollusca; Bivalvia; Ostreida; Ostreidae
Exons: 10
Source: RefSeq, a predicted model, not a curated record